RNAcentral lists this ribosomal RNA (542 nucleotides) under uncultured bacterium. RNAcentral's name for it is "bacterial SSU rRNA". It matches the Rfam family "Bacterial small subunit ribosomal RNA", at positions 8 to 524 of the family's 1533-position model. The record is from RNAcentral.
AGAGUUUGAUUAUGGCUCAGGACGAACGCUGGCGGCGUGCCUAAUACAUGCAAGUGGAACGCGUUUUCUAUACCGGAGCUUGCUCCACCAUAGAAAACGAGUCGCGAACGGGUGAGUAACGCGUGAGAAAUCUGCCUCUGAGUGGGGGAUAACUACUGGAAACGGUAGCUAAUACCGCAUAACAAGGUAAAUCACAUGAUUUUCUCUUGAAAGGUGCAAUUGCAUCCCUCAGAGAUGAUCUCGCGUUGGAUUAGCUAGUUGGUAAGGUAAAGGCUUACCAAGGCGAUGAUCCAUAGCCGACCUGAGAGGGUGAUCGGCCACAUUGGGACUGAGACACGGCCCAAACUCCUACGGGAGGCAGCAGUAGGGAAUCUUCGGCAAUGGACGAAAGUCUGACCGAGCAACGCCGCGUGAGUGAAGAAGGUUUUCGGAUCGUAAAGCUCUGUUGUAAGAGAAGAACAGGAGAGAGAGUGGAAAAUUCUCUCCAUGACGGUAUCUUACCAGAAAGGGACGGCUAACUACGUGCCAGCAGCCGCGGUAAU